AGACAUACUGGCAGGGGAGAGACCAUGAUCACAAAGGUGUUUUUUCCAGGGCAAGGCGUAUCCAUGGCAGUCCGGAUGUGCUGACCUCUGCAAUUUCCCCACAUGUAGGAAAUUCGACUGGAUAAUUUGUGGUAGUGGGGGAUUGUGUUCAUGUGCUCCCCUG
Molecule: small nuclear RNA, 163 nt
Organism: Sorex araneus (European shrew)
Lineage: Eukaryota; Metazoa; Chordata; Mammalia; Eulipotyphla; Soricidae
Gene: U1
Rfam family: U1 spliceosomal RNA
About the family: U1 is a small nuclear RNA (snRNA) component of the spliceosome (involved in pre-mRNA splicing). Its 5' end forms complementary base pairs with the 5' splice junction, thus defining the 5' donor site of an intron.
Source: Ensembl